GUCAGGAUAUGAGGUGUGGUGUGUUCUCUCUCUAUGAGAUCUCUUGUCAGGAUAUGAGAGGUGGUGUGUUCUCUCUCUAUGAGAUCUAUGGUCAGGAUAUGAGAGGUGGUGUGUUCUCUCUCUAUGAGAUCUAUUGUCAGGAUAUGAGAGGUGGUGUGUUCUCUCUCUAUGAGAUCUAUGGUCAGGAUAUGAGAGGUGGUGUGUUCUCUCUCUAUGAGAUCUAUUGUCAGGAUAUGAGAGGUGGUGUGUUCUCUCUCUAUGAGAUCUAUUGUCAGGAUAUGAGAGGUGGUGUGUUCUCUCUCUAUGAGAUCUAUGGUCAGGAUAUGAGAGGUGGUGUGUUCUCUAUGAGAUCUAUGGUCAGGAUAUGAGAGGUGGUGUGUUCUCUAUGAGAUCUCUUGUCAGGAUAUGAGAGGUGGUGUGUUCUCUAUGAGAUCUAUGGUCAGGAUAUGAGAGGUGGUGUGUUCUCUAUGAGAUCUAUGGUCAGGAUAUGAGAGGUGGUGUGUUCUCUAUGAGAUCUAUGGUCAGGAUAUGAGAGGUGGUGUGUUCUCUCUAUGAGAUCUAUGGUCAGGAUAUGAGAGGUGGUGUGUUCUCUCUAUGAGAUCUAUGGUCAGGAUAUGAGAGGUGGUGUGUUCUCUCUCUAUGAGAUCUAUGGUCAGGAUAUGAGAGGUGGUGUGUUCUCUCUCUAUGAGAUCUAUGGUCAGGAUGUGAGAGGUGGUGUGUUCUCUAUGAGAUCUAUGGUCAGGAUAUGAGAGGUGGUGUGUUCUCUAUGAGAUCUAUGGUCAGGAUAUGAGAGGUGGUGUGUUCUCUCUCUAUGAGAUCUAUGGUCAGGAUAUGAGAGGUGGUGUGUUCUCUAUGAGAUCUCUUGUCAGGAUAUGAGAGGUGGUGUGUUCUCUAUGAGAUCUAUGGUCAGGAUAUGAGAGGUGGUGUGUUCUCUAUGAGAUCUAUGGUCAGGAUAUGAGAGGUGGUGUGUUCUCUAUGAGAUCUAUGGUCAGGAUAUGAGAGGUGGUGUGUUCUCUCUAUGAGAUCUAUGGUCAGGAUAUGAGAGGUGGUGUGUUCUCUCUAUGAGAUCUAUGGUCAGGAUAUGAGAGGUGGUGUGUUCUCUCUCUAUGAGAUCUAUGGUCAGGAUAUGAGAGGUGGUGUGUUCUCUCUCUAUGAGAUCUAUGGUCAGGAUAUGAGAGGUGGUGUGUUCUCUCUCUAUGAGAUCUAUGGUCAGGAUAUGAGAGGUGGUGUGUUCUCUAUGAGAUCUCUUGUCAGGAUAUGAGAGGUGGUGUGUUCUCUAUGAGAUCUAUGGUCAGGAUAUGAGAGGUGGUGUGUUCUCUAUGAGAUCUAUGGUCAGGAUAUGAGAGGUGGUGUGUUCUCUCUCUAUGAGAUCUAUGGUCAGGAUAUGAGAGGUGGUGUGUUCUCUCUCUAUGAGAUCUAUGGUCAGGAUAUGAGAGGUGGUGUGUUCUCUCUCUAUGAGAUCUAUGGUCAGGAUAUGAGAGGUGGUGUGUUCUCUCUCUAUGAGAUCUAUGGUCAGGAUAUGAGAGGUGGUGUGUUCUCUAUGAGAUCUCGUCAGGAUAUGACUUGGUGGAUUGUCUCUCUUCAGGUGUCUGGGGGUUUAAAAGGGGAGUCAUAAGGUUCCCAUGACAAGAAUAUCCAUUGUUACCUAGUAAGGGGCAUUCACAUGCUCCCCUUUCCAGCAUUGCACACAGACGGAUCCUGGGUGGAUCCUGGCCGUCUAGCUAGGAUGUUGGUGAGCUGACCUUUGACCACACAGACAGCCUGCACAUUGACGGAGGAGUA
Oncorhynchus keta (chum salmon) is the source of this 1782-nucleotide RNA transcript. RefSeq lists it as uncharacterized. Lineage: Eukaryota; Metazoa; Chordata; Actinopteri; Salmoniformes; Salmonidae. The transcript has 10 exons. The record is from RefSeq and is a predicted model, not a curated record.